AAGACUGGGGGGAAAGCCAGCUGGUCCUUUGCAGAGGAGUUUGCCUACUCUUCUUCUAAAGGAUGAAGCCCCAAGGAAGUCUGGACACACAGCUUUCAGAAGGGUUCUCAGAGGGCAGAUCAAUGAAGAAUUUUGCUGUGUGGCUGACUGCACAUCCUCUAUCAAGCGUGCAUAUUCAUCUUUAAGGAGCUGAUCAAUUCAUUUCAAGACAUCAUUCUUCCAAAACAAAGCAGAGGCUGAUAAACAACACUCCAAUGGUGGCUUGGAAAUGAUAUGAAUCCUACAUAAAAAUGAGGACAAUCCUAUAUGUGACGGUCUGUAAGGAAAACCAAGGUCUCACCAUAUUCUUCACCUAUACCGAGGAGCAGAGACUAGGACCAACAAAACACUGCUUCAUAGCUACCAUCAUUUGCAGCACACAGGGCAGGCAGAGGGCUGUGACAUAGGAUAUAGGACAAAGAAGGCUGGCUUUCUUCAAGUGCAAAAGUUCCAGAGUGUCUACCAUUUCCAUCUCCCAGUCCCAUUCCCCUUCAAGAGAAUCAAUGUUUUCUUUCUUGCUGGAACUGAACAUUAUAUUUAAAUCCCCACUGUAUCAUUAAAUAUGUCUCUUGCCUCCACACCGAUUUACCAAAUGUA
This is a long non-coding RNA of Peromyscus leucopus (white-footed mouse), 636 nucleotides long. RefSeq lists it as uncharacterized. The transcript has 3 exons. The record is from RefSeq and is a predicted model, not a curated record. Lineage: Eukaryota; Metazoa; Chordata; Mammalia; Rodentia; Cricetidae.